RNAcentral lists this ribosomal RNA (389 nucleotides) under uncultured microorganism. Its description in RNAcentral is "bacterial SSU rRNA". It matches the Rfam family "Archaeal small subunit ribosomal RNA", at positions 330 to 725 of the family's 1478-position model. The record is from RNAcentral.
GUGCAGCAGGCGCGAAACUUUACAAUGUGCGAAAGCACGAUAAGGGAACUCUGAGUGCCUCCUAAGGAGGCUGUUCAGGUGUCUAAAAGCACCUGAAGGAAGGGCUGGGUAAGACCGGUGCCAGCCGCCGCGGUAACACCGGCAGCCCAAGUGGUAGCCACGUUUAUUGGGUCUAAAGCGUCCGUAGCCGGCUGGGGUAAGUUCCUUGGGAAAUUUGGCUGCUUAACAGUCAAGCUUUCAGGGAAUACUGCCCGGCUUGGGACCGGGAGAGGUCAGAGGUACUCCAGGGGUAGGGGUGAAAUCCAUUAAUCCUUGGGGGACCACCGGUAGCGAAGGCGUCUGACCAGACCGGGUCCGACGGUGAGGGACGAAGGCUAGGGGCGCGAACC